Non-coding RNA from Podarcis lilfordi (Lilford's wall lizard), 201 nucleotides. The record is from the annotation of a GenBank genome assembly. Lineage: Eukaryota; Metazoa; Chordata; Lepidosauria; Squamata; Lacertidae.
GCCUGGCGUGCUCUGGUCCAUGGGGUCACGAAGAGUCGGACACGACUAAACAACAACAACAAUAGGGAUGCGGGUGGCACUGUGGUCUAAACCACAGAGCCUAGGGCUUGCCGAUCGGAAGGUUGGUGUUUCGAAUCCCUGCGAUGGGGUGAGCUCCCGUUUCUCGGUCCCAGCUCCUGCCAACCUAGCAGUUCAAAAGCA